Molecule: ribosomal RNA, 522 nt
Filed under: uncultured bacterium
Lineage: Bacteria
Description: bacterial SSU rRNA
Rfam family: Bacterial small subunit ribosomal RNA
Source: RNAcentral
AGACUUUGAUCCUGGCUCAGAACGAACGCUGGCGGCAGGCCUAACACAUGCAAGUCGAGCGCGCCCUUCGGGGUGAGCGGCGGACGGGUGAGUAACGCGUGGGGACGUGCCCUCUUCUGCGGAAUAGCCACUGGAAACGGUGAGUAAUACCGCAUACGCCCUUUUGGGGAAAGAUUUAUCGGAGGAGGAUCGGCCCGCGUUGGAUUAGGUAGUUGGUGGGGUAAUGGCCUACCAAGCCGACGAUCCAUAGCUGGUUUUAGAGGAUGAUCAGCCACACUGGGACUGAGACACGGCCCAGACUCCUACGGGAGGCAGCAGUGGGGAAUCUUAGACAAUGGGCGCAAGCCUGAUCUAGCCAUGCCGCGUGAGUGACGAAGGCCCUAGGGUCGUAAAGCUCUUUCGCCUGUGAUGAUAAUGACAGUAGCAGGUAAAGAAACCCCGGCUAACUCCGUGCCAGCGGCCGCGGUAAUACGGAGGGGGUUAGCGUUGUUCGGAAUUACUGGGCGUAAAGCGCGCGUAGGC